This 87-nucleotide transfer RNA is filed under the name Blochmannia endosymbiont of Polyrhachis (Hedomyrma) turneri. Its description in RNAcentral is "tRNA-Ser (TGA) (tRNA-Ser-TGA-1-1)". It matches the Rfam family "tRNA". Rfam says of the family: Transfer RNA (tRNA) molecules are approximately 80 nucleotides in length. The record is from Rfam by way of RNAcentral. Lineage: Bacteria; Pseudomonadati; Pseudomonadota; Gammaproteobacteria; Enterobacterales; Enterobacteriaceae.
GGAGGAGUGGCUGAGUGGUUGAAGGCGCCGGUCUUGAAAAUCGGUAAUAUUUUUUAGUAUUCUAGAGUUCGAAUCUCUACUCCUCCG